CCUACGGGUGACAGCAGUGGGGAAUAUUGCACAAUGGGGGAAACCCUGAUGCAGCGACGCCGCGUGAGUGAAGAAGUAUUUCGGUAUGUAAAGCUCUGUCAGCAGGGAAGAAAAUGACGGUACCUGACCAAGAAGCCCCGGCUAACUACGUGCCAGCAGCCGCGGUAAUACGUAGGGGGCAAGCGUUAUCCGGAUUUACUGGGUGUAAAGGGAGCGUAGACGGCAGGGCAAGUCUGGAGUGAAAGGCGGGGGCUCAACCCCCGGACUGCUCUGGAAACUGCCAGGCUGGAGUGCAGGAGAGGUAAGUGGAACUCCAUGUGUAGCGGUGGAAUGCGUAGAUAUAUGGAAGAACACCAGUGGCGAAGGCGGCUCUCUGGUCUGCAACUGACGCUGAGGCUCGAAAGCAUGGGUAGCGAACAGGAUUAGAUACCCCUGUAGUC
Molecule: ribosomal RNA, 440 nt
Filed under: uncultured bacterium
Lineage: Bacteria
Description: partial 16S ribosomal RNA
Rfam family: Bacterial small subunit ribosomal RNA
Source: RNAcentral